RNAcentral lists this ribosomal RNA (329 nucleotides) under uncultured eukaryote. RNAcentral describes it as "partial 18S ribosomal RNA". It matches the Rfam family "Eukaryotic small subunit ribosomal RNA", at positions 1470 to 1796 of the family's 1831-position model. The record is from RNAcentral.
CCCUUAGAUGUUCUGGGCCGCACGCGCGCUACACUGACGAUGGCAACGAGUUUUUCCUUCGCCGAAAGGUGUGGGUAAUCUUUUGAAACAUCGUCGUACUGGGGAUAGAUCAUUGCAAUUUUUGAUCUUGAACGAGGAAUUCCUAGUAAGCGCGAGUCAUCAGCUCGCGUUGAUUACGUCCCUGCCCUUUGUACACACCGCCCGUCGCUACUACCGAUUGAAUGGUUUAGUGAGGACUCCUGAUUGGCGCCGCCGCCCCGGCAACGGAGCAGCGGACUGCCGAAAAGUUGUUCAAACUUGAUCAUUUAGAGGAAGUAAAAGUCGUAACA